Ornithorhynchus anatinus (platypus) is the source of this 138-nucleotide small nucleolar RNA. The record is from RefSeq and is a predicted model, not a curated record. NCBI's taxonomy places the organism in Eukaryota, Metazoa, Chordata, Mammalia, Monotremata, Ornithorhynchidae.
CCUCUCUCAGGGUCGCAUCUGGAGAGUUUCCAGUAGUCUUUCAGUCUCGAAUAUGGGAGGGAGAGUCAAGCAGAGGCCUAUCCAUUCCAUUCCUAGCUUGGCCGGUGGCUAGCGAGUGGAAGACAAUCUGCUACGAGG